Molecule: transfer-messenger RNA, 354 nt
Filed under: Planctomycetota
Lineage: Bacteria; Pseudomonadati
Also listed under: 1 other name
Description: GCA-2687715 sp002687715 Standard tmRNA
Rfam family: transfer-messenger RNA
About the family: Bacterial tmRNA, also known as 10Sa RNA or SsrA, is named for its dual tRNA and mRNA-like properties. Its role is to liberate the mRNA from a stalled ribosome.
Source: RNAcentral
GGGGGCGACUGGUAUCGACCGGAUCCAACGGGGCAUGGGUGGCGUGCAGAGGUUCCGCGGAGGCCUCUUAAACACCGCGGAAAACUUAGUUGCCAACCGCAACUUUGCUAUGGCGGCCUAAUCUAGGUUGUCACGUGCCGGAGACCCACGUCCGCGGAGUCUUCGGCGCGACCAACCAGCGGACUGGCUCGCGCACUCCCGUCCGAGACGAGGCGAGUAAGAAACGAUCGGACUGGUUCCUCGACGUCCUGUCGGCCGGAUAGCCGGGGAACGAGAUUUAUAGACCGACUACGCACGUAGAGGCUCAUGUCACGGGAUCGCGGGACGGGGGUUCGAUUCCCCCCGCCUCCAUCC